Molecule: unclassified non-coding RNA, 270 nt
Filed under: air metagenome
Description: partial contains small subunit ribosomal RNA, internal transcribed spacer 1, and 5.8S ribosomal RNA
Rfam family: Eukaryotic small subunit ribosomal RNA (bases 1-46)
Source: RNAcentral
AAGUCGUAACAAGGUUUCCGUAGGUGAACCUGCGGAAGGAUCAUUAUCGAGUUUUUGAAGUGGGUCUUAUUUGAGCUGGCUUUUCACGAAGCACUGUGCUCGGGCCCCGCUCCAAUCCACUCAACCCCUGUGCACUUUCGGAGUUGCGUGGCCUUAUUUGUAGGUCCCGUGGCUUCGUCUCUUAUCACAAACCAUAUUGUUUUGUCGAACGUGGAUGCCUGCAAAGGCGGAAACUCAAUACAACUUUCAACAACGGAUCUCUUGGCUCUC